CCAUGCAACAAAAACAAUAAAUCCCAUCACACUCAUUGUCGACAUAUUUGUCAACGAAUAAGUGUGCGUUUCGGCUUUCCUAUUACUUAUGCUUGACAGUUGAAUCGAUUCGAGCAGUUUGAGAAUGAGGCAAAACAUCAUACAGCCCUGUUGCACCGAAACUCUCCCACAGAUGGUGCUGUGGUACAACAGGCUGGGCAAACAGAUAUGCAAAAACAUAAAAACAUGGUGAGUUAUGCGAAACGAGGCUUCCUAUAUAAGAAAGCCAGUUUCUUAAGAAAUUCUCUCUUUCUGCUGUUGAUCCUCAAACGGAAUCGUAGUGCGCGCGUGUGUAGUGUUUUAAAUCGGCAAGGGUCAGCAAAAUCGCCAUACGUUGCAUCAUUGUAUCAAAGCAACUUUGUGAGCCCACAGUCUAAAAAAAUCAUGAAGAACACAAUGUGAAUACCGAACAUAUCUGUAACAUAAAACGACAAGUGAAACAAAAACAGAAAAAGGUCCGUGUAAAAGGGCCUUUUCUUUCUAUUAUUUUCCGAGUGUUGCAUCAUUGCUGUACCCUGAAUGGACUUCCCGGAAGGUCCGCGUCCGGUGAAUGCAUCGUGCCAAAAUCGUGGUCAUCGUUUAGAUUUCUGGUGCAGUACGAACCGUCUCUCGACUUGGGUGACGCAAUCCAUCCCGACAGCCUGUUGUUCUUCAUUGUCAGGCCGCCAUCUUCUAAAGAUCGUCGAGCACCGAAAUCGGCAGCGCACGCCAUCGUUCAUGAAUGGACUCACAUUACCGUCGAUCAACAAGAAAGGACACUGAAGUGCUACGUCACCGUAAGCACAGACCGGACAAAUAGCAAGCCCUUGGUCAUCGCAAUCCCCGAUAGCCCCCCCCUUUAUGAUGGGCUGUCGAUAUACAAAACCACCACCUAGGAUUCGGAUCCGAAAACAAGAACUAAACAUGCAAGUACCCAUUAUGUAACGUCACUAAUAAAAUUGUUAAAUGUUAAA
This is a long non-coding RNA of Armigeres subalbatus, 992 nucleotides long. RefSeq lists it as uncharacterized. The record is from RefSeq and is a predicted model, not a curated record. Lineage: Eukaryota; Metazoa; Arthropoda; Insecta; Diptera; Culicidae. The transcript is spliced from 4 exons.